AAUAGAUACCCCGGUAGUCCACGCCGUAAACGAUGUCGACUUGGAGGUUGUGCCCUUGAGGCGUGGCUUCCGGAGCUAACGCGUUAAGUCGACCGCCUGGGGAGUACGGCCGCGAAGGUUAAAACUCAAAUGAAUUGACGGGGGCCCGCACAAGCGGUGGAGCAUGUGGUUUUAAUUCGAUGCAACGCGAAGAACCUUACCUACUCUUGACAUCCAGAGAACUUAGCAGAGAUGCUUUGGUGCCUUCGGGAACUCUGAGACAGGUGCUGCAUGGCGUGUCGUCAGCUCGUGUUGUGAAUGUUGGUUAGUCCGCACGAGCGCAACCUUACUUCUUUGUUG
This 339-nucleotide ribosomal RNA is filed under the name uncultured bacterium. RNAcentral's name for it is "bacterial SSU rRNA". It matches the Rfam family "Bacterial small subunit ribosomal RNA", at positions 777 to 1117 of the family's 1533-position model. The record is from RNAcentral.